CGAAGCGUGCGAUUGGAUUGCACGUCUAAGCAGUAAGGCUGAGUAUUAGGCAAAUCCGGUACUCAUUAAGGCUGAGCUGUGAUGGGGAGAAGACAUUGUGUCUUCGAGUCGUUGAUUUCACACUGCCGAGAAAAGCCUCUAGAUAGAAAAUAGGUGCCCGUACCGCAAACCGACACAGGUAGUCAAGAUGAGAAUUCUAAGGUGAGCGAGCGAACUCUCGUUAAGGAACUCGGCAAAAUGACCCCGUAACUUCGGGAGAAGGGGUGCUCUUUAGGGUUAACGCCCAGAAGAGCCGCAGUGAAUAGGCCCAAGCGACUGUUUAUCAAAAACACAGGUCUCUGCUAAACCGUAAGGUGAUGUAUAGGGGCUGACGCCUGCCCGGUGCUGGAAGGUUAAGAGGAGUGGUUAGCUUCUGCGAAGCUACGAAUCGAAGCCCCAGUAAACGGCGGCCGUAACUAUAACGGUCCUAAGGUAGCGAAAUUCCUUGUCGGGUAAGUUCCGACCCGCACGAAAGGCGUAACGAUUUGGGCACUGUCUCAACGAGAGACUCGGUGAAAUCAUAGUACCUGUGAAGAUGCAGGUUACCCGCGACAGGACGGAAAGACCCCGUGGAGCUUUACUGUAGCCUGAUAUUGAAAUUCGGCACAGCUUGUACAGGAUAGGUAGGAGCCUUUGAAACGUGAGCGCUAGCUUACGUGGAGGCGCUGGUGGGAUACUACCCUAGCUGUGUUGGCUUUCUAACCCGCACCACUUAUCGUGGUGGGAGACAGUGUCAGGCGGGCAGUUUGACUGGGGCGGUCGCCUCCUAAAAGGUAACGGAGGCGCUCAAAGGUUCCCUCAGAAUGGUUGGAAAUCAUUCAUAGAGUGUAAAGGCAUAAGGGAGCUUGACUGCGAGACCUACAAGUCGAGCAGGGUCGAAAGACGGACUUAGUGAUCCGGUGGUUCCGCAUGGAAGGGCCAUCGCUCAACGGAUAAAAGCUACCCCGGGGAUAACAGGCUUAUCUCCCCCAAGAGUUCACAUCGACGGGGAGGUUUGGCACCUCGAUGUCGGCUCAUCGCAUCCUGGGGCUGUAGUCGGUCCCAAGGGUUGGGCUGUUCGCCCAUUAAAGCGGUACGCGAGCUGGGUUCAGAACGUCGUGAGACAGUUCGGUCCCUAUCCGUCGUGGGCGUAGGAAAUUUGAGAGGAGCUGUCCUUAGUACGAGAGGACCGGGAUGGACAUACCUCUGGUGUACCAGUUGUCGUGCCAACGGCAUAGCUGGGUAGCUAUGUGUGGACGGGAUAAGUGCUGAAAGCAUCUAAGCAUGAAGCCCCCCUCAAGAUGAGAUUUCCCAACUUCGGUUAUAAGAUCCCUCAAAGAUGAUGAGGUUAAUAGGUUCGAGGUGGAAGCAUGGUGACAU
This 1398-nucleotide ribosomal RNA is filed under the name Staphylococcus aureus. Its description in RNAcentral is "partial 23S ribosomal RNA". It matches the Rfam family "Bacterial large subunit ribosomal RNA", at positions 1487 to 2884 of the family's 2925-position model. The record is from RNAcentral. Lineage: Bacteria; Bacillati; Bacillota; Bacilli; Caryophanales; Staphylococcaceae.